UUCUGGUCUAGGUCUACUACCCUCACUGGAUUAAACAAAACUGCCCAAACCAAAACAAGCUAGAUCCUGGGACAGGAGGGAAGCAGUCUCAGCAGAUGAGGCCUCUUCAGACUUUUACUCUCAUGGAAAAAAAAAAAAUGGCCAAAUCGAGUUGCUCAAAUAAAAAUCCAGAAUAGGGUCCUGGCUGACAUCCUCAGGAAGCGCAAAGGGGGAAAAAGAGACAAAAAUAUUUAACAGAUGAAAAUCCUGAAAAUUCACAAAGAAGGUGGGGAAAACAUACAUUCACACUAACAGGUGCACACACAGAAUCCAAGUGCUCCUGCCAAGUCUGGGAGAACAGCAGCGAGGUGUAAGCAAAAGCAGCGGUGGUGGGGGUGGGGGGCAGGGAGUGGGCGGACUCAGUACAGAGUGAACAGUAAGGGCGGCCACCCUGCGGAUGAUAAAUUACUCAUUAUGGGAUUUUAACAAAGGACAGGACACUGGAGGCUCCAGUUGACGCUGUUUGCAGCAAUUCUGCUGCUAGACCUUUAGGUAUAAAGGGUCUCAAAAAUGCUCUUAUAAAAGACAAGCAAUAUCAAAGAGGACUGAUGCCCCCAAGGAAAGAUAAGCUCAGGGAAAAACGAAAGCAAGGCUUUGUUACUACAUAUCAAACAAUAGCUCUUAAGCUUGGUCUGCCCCGAAGACUGUCUUCCGAUCACAUUUCAGAGAUAGUCCAUUCUCUCUCCUAAGGCCUCUCUUGCUAAUGGCUUGGUUUGGUUUUGCUUUUAAUUCUAGCCAGCCUGCUUUUAGACUUUCUCACCUUAACCACUAGGCCCUUCCCCUUCAGAAUGUCAGGGCUUUCUGAAGUCUAGCCAGACCUCAUUGUCCCUGUGAUCUCAAAGGUCUUCUCCUUCACCUCCUACAAACAAAAUUUACUUUGCCAAAACACAAGGCAUUAUGGGAGGCACUGUGGGGGAUACAAAAAUUAUAGGACAGAGUUAUCUUAUCACCAGGAGCUCACAAGAAGAACCCAGGAAGCCUGGACAAAGGUACUUCUUACUGCAGUAGGGUGCUAUUCAGUCAGGCACUGAUGGAUCAGGGAGAACGUGACUCCAGGAUGCAGCAGUUGCGGAAGGAAGAGAAACAGUCAUGGGGAAGAUCUUAGGAAAUUCAACUUUGGCUGGAACCAUCAACUUUGCUACAUCGGCCAAUCCAACCAGCUGGGAAUUCUAGUAAUUUUGCUCACUGCCCCCAGACGACUCUAUCCCCUUAUGAAGGAGACAUAUUUGUAACCCACUGAACAGAAAACUGGCCUUUAAAAUAAUGUCAUCCUGCUGUCUCCUUUCUGUGGCUACGGUGCUAAUGUGGUAUUUCAAUUUCUUCCCUCAAUAUCCUCUUCAUUUUAACAAAGAAUAUUUCUUCUCGAGGCCAGGCACAGUGGCUCACGCCUGUAAUCCCAGCACUUUGGGAGGCCAAGGCAGGUGGAUCACCUGAGGUCAGGAGUUUGAGACCAGCCUGGCCAACAUGGUGAAACCCCGUCUCUACUAAAAAUACAAAAAUUAGCUGGGCGUGGUGGUGUGCACAUGUAAUCCCAGCUACCUGGGGAGGCUGAGGCAGGAGAAUCGCUUGAAACCAGGAGGUGGAGGUUGCAGUGAGCCAAGAUCGGACCACUGCACUCCAGCCUGGGCGACAGAGCGAGACUCCAUCUCAAAAAAAAAAAUUAAUAAUAAUAUUUCUUCUCUUUGCAUCAUACCUCAGUUUGGUAUCACUCUAACCCACAGAGCUUCAUUUUACUUCAUAGCUUUUAGCAAUACAGAACGAUUUCUUUAUAGUCCAUGGCUUCCACUAGGAUGUCAGCUCCGUGAAAAUGGGAACUUAUCACUACUGUAUCUCCAGUACCUAAAACAGUGUCUGGCGCUUGAUAGGCACUGAAUAAGUUCGUGUUGACUGACCGAAUGAAUAAAC
Molecule: long non-coding RNA, 1944 nt
Filed under: Homo sapiens (human)
Lineage: Eukaryota; Metazoa; Chordata; Mammalia; Primates; Hominidae
Description: HSALNT0342308
Source: RNAcentral